RNAcentral lists this unclassified non-coding RNA (220 nucleotides) under Hevea brasiliensis (rubber tree). Lineage: Eukaryota; Viridiplantae; Streptophyta; Magnoliopsida; Malpighiales; Euphorbiaceae. The record is from RNAcentral.
GGCAACUGUUCCCAGGUGAUUCCAAUAUUUGAGAGCCCUUAUCGAUGUUAUGCUGGUACUUUGUCACAAAACCACUUUCUUUCAAGUCCAUUGAAGAAUUAGCAUCUUUCCAAAAGGAAAGGUUACGAUUAAUUGGAUUCUGUUGCCUGCUUCCUAGGUCAUCUCUUAAACUGCUAGCAUUAGCUACUGCAGCAUUAUUUAUUAAAUUAGAACCUUCAUU